RNAcentral lists this ribosomal RNA (395 nucleotides) under uncultured bacterium. RNAcentral's name for it is "partial 16S ribosomal RNA". It matches the Rfam family "Bacterial small subunit ribosomal RNA", at positions 523 to 918 of the family's 1533-position model. The record is from RNAcentral.
AUACGUAGGGUGCAAGCGUUAAUCGGAAUUACUGGGCGUAAAGCGUGCGCAGGCGGUUUUGUAAGACAGAGGUGAAAUCCCCGGGCUCAACCUGGGAACUGCCUUUGUGACUGCAAGGCUAGAGUACGGCAGAGGGGGAUUGAAUUCCGCGUGUAGCAGUGAAAUGGGUAGAUAUGCGGAGGAACACCGAUGGCUAAGGCAAUCCCAUGGGACUGUACUGACGCACAUGCACGAAAGCGUGGGGAGCAAACAGGAUUAGAUACCCUGGUAGUCAACGCCCUAGACGAUGUCAACUGGUUGUUGGGUCUUCCGUGACUCAGUAACGAAGCUAACGCGUGAAGUUGACCGCCUGGGGAGUACGGCCGCAAGGUUGAAACUCAAAUGAAUUGGCGGGG